UACAGAGGUCCCAAGCGUUGCUCGGAUUCACUGGGCGUAAAGGGUGCGUAGGUGGUGGGGCAAGUCUGAUGUGAAAUCUCCGAGCUCAACUCGGAAACGGCAUUGGAAACUGCCCUGCUCGAGGAUUGGAGGGGGGACUGGAAUUCUCGGUGUAGCAGUGAAAUGCGUAGAUAUCGAGAGGAACACCAGUGGCGAAGGCGAGUCCCUGGACAAUCCCUGACGCUGAGGCACGAAAGCUAGGGGAG
Molecule: ribosomal RNA, 245 nt
Filed under: uncultured bacterium
Lineage: Bacteria
Description: partial 16S ribosomal RNA
Rfam family: Bacterial small subunit ribosomal RNA
Source: RNAcentral